RNAcentral lists this transfer RNA (73 nucleotides) under Sphingobium phenoxybenzoativorans. RNAcentral's name for it is "tRNA-OTHER". Lineage: Bacteria; Pseudomonadati; Pseudomonadota; Alphaproteobacteria; Sphingomonadales; Sphingobiaceae. The record is from RNAcentral.
GUUGCCGUGACAAACGCUAACCGCGUCCUUGGUAAGGCUGAGGUCGUGAGUUCAAUCCUCACCGGCAGCACCA